Parelaphostrongylus tenuis is the source of this 75-nucleotide non-coding RNA. The record is from the annotation of a GenBank genome assembly. NCBI's taxonomy places the organism in Eukaryota, Metazoa, Nematoda, Chromadorea, Rhabditida, Metastrongylidae.
GACCGCUUGGCGCAAAUGGUAGCGCGUUCUACUCCAGAUCGAAAGAGUUGGGGCGUUCAAUCCGCUCAGCGGUCA